UCAGAUUGAACGCUGCGGCAGGCCUAACACAUGCAAGUCGAGCGGAAACGAGUUAUCUGAACCUUCGGGGAACGAUAACGGCGUCGAGCGGCGGACGGGUGAGUAAUGCCUAGGAAAUUGCCCUGAUGUGGGGGAUAACCAUUGGAAACGAUGGCUAAUACCGCAUAAUGCCUACGGGCCAAAGAGGGGGACCUUCGGGCCUCUCGCGUCAGGAUAUGCCUAGGUGGGAUUAGCUAGUUGGUGAGGUAAUGGCUCACCAAGGCGACGAUCCCUAGCUGGUCUGAGAGGAUGAUCAGCCACACUGGAACUGAGACACGGUCCAGACUCCUACGGGAGGCAGCAGUGGGGAAUAUUGCACAAUGGGCGCAAGCCUGAUGCAGCCAUGCCGCGUGUGUGAAGAAGGCCUUCGGGUUGUAAAGCACUUUCAGUCGUGAGGAAGGUGGUGUUGUUAAUAGCUGCUAUUAUUUGACGUUAGCGACAGAAGAAGCACCGGCUAACUCCGUGCCAGCAGCCGCGGUAAUACGGAGGGUGCGAGCGUUAAUCGGAAUUACUGGGCGUAAAGCGCAUGCAGGUGGUUUGUUAAGUCAGAUGUGAAAGCCCGGGGCUCAACCUCGGAAUAGCAUUUGAAACUGGCAGACUAGAGUACUGUAGAGGGGGGUAGAAUUUCAGGUGUAGCGGUGAAAUGCGUAGAGAUCUGAAGGAAUACCGGUGGCGAAGGCGGCCCCCUGGACAGAUACUGACACUCAGAUGCGAAAGCGUGGGGAGCAAACAGGAUUAGAUACCCUGGUAGUCCACGCCGUAAACGAUGUCUACUUGGAGGUUGUGGCCUUGAGCCGUGGCUUUCGGAGCUAACGCGUUAAGUAGACCGCCUGGGGAGUACGGUCGCAAGAUUAAAACUCAAAUGAAUUGACGGGGGCCCGCACAAGCGGUGGAGCAUGUGGUUUAAUUCGAUGCAACGCGAAGAACCUUACCUACUCUUGACAUCCAGAGAACUUUCCAGAGAUGGAUUGGUGCCUUCGGGAACUCUGAGACAGGUGCUGCAUGGCUGUCGUCAGCUCGUGUUGUGAAAUGUUGGGUUAAGUCCCGCAACGAGCGCAACCCUUAUCCUUGUUUGCCAGCGAGUAAUGUCGGGAACUCCAGGGAGACUGCCGGUGAUAAACCGGAGGAAGGUGGGGACGACGUCAAGUCAUCAUGGCCCUUACGAGUAGGGCUACACACGUGCUACAAUGGCGCAUACAGAGGGCAGCAAGCUAGCGAUAGUGAGCGAAUCCCAAAAAGUGCGUCGUAGUCCGGAUUGGAGUCUGCAACUCGACUCCAUGAAGUCGGAAUCGCUAGUAAUCGUGGAUCAGAAUGCCACGGUGAAUACGUUCCCGGGCCUUGUACACACCGCCCGUCACACCAUGGGAGUGGGCUGCAAAAGAAGUAGGUAGUUUAACCUUCGGGAGGACGCU
Molecule: ribosomal RNA, 1451 nt
Filed under: Vibrio sp. PaD3.33b
Lineage: Bacteria; Pseudomonadati; Pseudomonadota; Gammaproteobacteria; Vibrionales; Vibrionaceae
Description: bacterial SSU rRNA
Rfam family: Bacterial small subunit ribosomal RNA
Source: RNAcentral